Molecule: ribosomal RNA, 2468 nt
Filed under: Salmonella enterica subsp. enterica serovar Typhi
Lineage: Bacteria; Pseudomonadati; Pseudomonadota; Gammaproteobacteria; Enterobacterales; Enterobacteriaceae
Description: bacterial LSU rRNA
Rfam family: Bacterial large subunit ribosomal RNA (bases 1007-2468)
Source: RNAcentral
GAGAUCAAAGAAGUUCGCGCGGGCGACAUCGCGGCUGCUAUCGGCCUGAAAGACGUGACUACCGGUGACACCCUGUGUGAUCCGGAAAACCCGAUCAUUCUGGAACGUAUGGAAUUCCCUGAGCCGGUAAUCUCCAUCGCGGUAGAACCGAAAACCAAAGCUGACCAGGAAAAAAUGGGUCUGGCUCUGGGCCGUCUGGCGAAAGAAGACCCGUCGUUCCGCGUAUGGACUGAUGAAGAAUCUAACCAGACCAUCAUCGCUGGUAUGGGUGAACUUCACCUAGAUAUCAUCGUUGACCGUAUGAAGCGUGAAUUCAACGUUGAAGCGAACGUGGGUAAACCUCAGGUUGCUUACCGCGAAGCGAUUCGCGCGAAAGUUACCGACAUCGAAGGUAAACACGCGAAACAGUCUGGUGGUCGCGGUCAGUAUGGUCAUGUUGUUAUCGACAUGUACCCGCUGGAGCCGGGCUCUAACCCGAAAGGUUACGAGUUCAUCAACGACAUCAAAGGUGGUGUAAUUCCUGGCGAGUACAUCCCGGCCGUUGAUAAAGGCAUCCAGGAGCAGCUGAAAUCUGGCCCGCUGGCGGGUUAUCCGGUAGUUGAUCUCGGUGUGCGUCUGCACUUCGGUUCUUACCAUGACGUUGACUCCUCUGAGCUGGCGUUUAAACUGGCUGCGUCUAUCGCCUUUAAAGAAGGCUUUAAGAAAGCAAAACCAGUUCUGCUUGAGCCGAUCAUGAAGGUUGAAGUAGAAACACCUGAAGAGAAUACCGGUGACGUUAUCGGCGACCUUAGCCGCCGUCGUGGUAUGCUCAAAGGUCAGGAAUCUGAAGUUACAGGCGUUAAGAUCCACGCUGAAGUACCGCUGUCUGAAAUGUUCGGAUAUGCAACUCAGCUGCGUUCUCUGACCAAAGGUCGCGCAUCGUACACUAUGGAAUUCCUGAAGUAUGAUGAUGCGCCGAACAACGUUGCUCAGGCCGUAAUCGAAGCCCGUGGUAAAUAAGCCGCAGGGUUAAAAACCAAAAUCCCGUGCUCUCUCCUGAAGGGGAGAGCGCUAUAGUAAGGAAUAUAGCCGUGUCUAAAGAAAAAUUUGAACGUACAAAACCGCACGUUAACGUCGGCACCAUCGGCCACGUUGACCACGGUAAAACUACCCUGACCGCUGCAAUCACCACCGUACUGGCUAAAACCUACGGCGGUGCUGCUCGUGCAUUCGACCAGAUCGAUAACGCUCCGGAAGAAAAAGCGCGUGGUAUCACCAUCAACACUUCUCACGUUGAAUACGAUACCCCGNAUUUACUCACGGAGCUGAAGUCAGCCGAAGAUACCAGCUGGCUGCAACUGUUUAUUAAAAACACAGCACUGUGCAAACACGAAAGUGGACGUAUACGGUGUGACGCCUGCCCGGUGCCGGAAGGUUAAUUGAUGGGGUCAGCGCAAGCGAAGCUCCUGAUCGAAGCCCCGGUAAACGGCGGCCGUAACUAUAACGGUCCUAAGGUAGCGAAAUUCCUUGUCGGGUAAGUUCCGACCUGCACGAAUGGCGUAAUGAUGGCCAGGCUGUCUCCACCCGAGACUCAGUGAAAUUGAACUCGCUGUGAAGAUGCAGUGUACCCGCGGCAAGACGGAAAGACCCCGUGAACCUUUACUAUAGCUUGACACUGAACAUUGAGCCUUGAUGUGUAGGAUAGGUGGGAGGCUUUGAAGUGUGGACGCCAGUCUGCAUGGAGCCGACCUUGAAAUACCACCCUUUAAUGUUUGAUGUUCUAACGUGGACCCGUGAUCCGGGUUGCGGACAGUGUCUGGUGGGUAGUUUGACUGGGGCGGUCUCCUCCUAAAGAGUAACGGAGGAGCACGAAGGUUGGCUAAUCCUGGUCGGACAUCAGGAGGUUAGUGCAAUGGCAUAAGCCAGCUUGACUGCGAGCGUGACGGCGCGAGCAGGUGCGAAAGCAGGUCAUAGUGAUCCGGUGGUUCUGAAUGGAAGGGCCAUCGCUCAACGGAUAAAAGGUACUCCGGGGAUAACAGGCUGAUACCGCCCAAGAGUUCAUAUCGACGGCGGUGUUUGGCACCUCGAUGUCGGCUCAUCACAUCCUGGGGCUGAAGUAGGUCCCAAGGGUAUGGCUGUUCGCCAUUUAAAGUGGUACGCGAGCUGGGUUUAGAACGUCGUGAGACAGUUCGGUCCCUAUCUGCCGUGGGCGCUGGAGAACUGAGGGGGGCUGCUCCUAGUACGAGAGGACCGGAGUGGACGCAUCACUGGUGUUCGGGUUGUCAUGCCAAUGGCACUGCCCGGUAGCUAAAUGCGGAAGAGAUAAGUGCUGAAAGCAUCUAAGCACGAAACUUGCCCCGAGAUGAGUUCUCCCUGAGACUUUAGGUCUCCUGAAGGAACGUUGAAGACGACGACGUUGAUAGGCCGGGUGUGUAAGCGCAGCGAUGCGUUGAGCUAACCGGUACUAAUGAACCGUGAGGCUUAACCUU